GAGAGUAUAGCUCAGUGGUAGAGCAUGUGCUUAGCAUGCAUGAGGUCCUGGGUUCGAUCCCCAAUACUAUCA
RNAcentral lists this transfer RNA (72 nucleotides) under Camelus bactrianus (Bactrian camel). It matches the Rfam family "tRNA". Rfam says of the family: Transfer RNA (tRNA) molecules are approximately 80 nucleotides in length. Their secondary structure includes four short double-helical elements and three loops (D, anti-codon, and T loops). Further hydrogen bonds mediate the characteristic L-shaped molecular structure. tRNAs have two regions of fundamental functional importance: the anti-codon, which is responsible for specific mRNA codon recognition, and the 3' end, to which the tRNAs corresponding amino acid is attached (by aminoacyl-tRNA synthetases). tRNAs cope with the degeneracy of the genetic code in two manners: having more than one tRNA (with a specific anti-codon) for a particular amino acid; and 'wobble' base-pairing, i.e. permitting non-standard base-pairing at the 3rd anti-codon position. Lineage: Eukaryota; Metazoa; Chordata; Mammalia; Artiodactyla; Camelidae. The record is from Rfam by way of RNAcentral. RNAcentral also lists the same sequence under 2 other names.